CGAGCACGCGCGUGUGGCAUAUCAAUAAGCGGAGGAAAAGAAACUAACAAGGAUUCCCUUAGUAACGGCGAGUGAAGCGGGAAGAGCUCAAAUUUGAAAUCUUCAAGGUUCUACCUUGACGAAUUGUAGUUUAUAGAAGUGUUUUCUGUUAGUGGAGUGGUAAAAGUUCUUUGGAAUAGGACAUCAUAGAGGGUGAGAAUCCCGUAUUUGGUCAUUCCUCCUAGCGUUGUGAUACACUUUCAACGAGUCGGAUUGUUUGGGAAUGCAGUCCAAAAUGGGUGGUAAAUUUCAUCUAAAGCUAAAUAUUGGCGAGAGACCGAUAGCGAACAAGUACCGUGAGGGAAAGAUGAAAAGAACUUUGAAAAGAGAGUUAAACAGUACGUGAAAUUGUCAAAAGGGAAGCGUUUGACACCAGUGUUGUUUUUCCGAAAAUCAAUUACGAAUGUUUUAUUUUUGAGGAGUUAUGACUUCAUCGGCUUGCUCCUUUCUUUACGAAACUUUCUUAAUGCACUUUUCGGUUAACAAGUCUACAUCAAUUUCUUUUGUUGUAAAAGGGUAUGAGGAAGGUGGCUUUCUUUUCGGAGAAAGUGUUUAUAGCCUUGUGCCUCUGCAAUCGGAGAGAUUGAGGUCUGCAGCGUAGAUCCUUCGGGGUUAGAUACAUUUGUGCUAAGUUAUAGCUUUUCAUAGACAACUUGUUGACUAUGUUAAGUCUUGUAGCUUACUCGCUUACUGCUAUUUUACCUACGCUUAGGAUGUUGAUGUGAUACUGCGAGC
RNAcentral lists this ribosomal RNA (774 nucleotides) under uncultured Neocallimastigales. RNAcentral describes it as "partial large subunit ribosomal RNA". It matches the Rfam family "Eukaryotic large subunit ribosomal RNA", at positions 19 to 645 of the family's 3401-position model. Lineage: Eukaryota; Fungi; Neocallimastigomycota; Neocallimastigomycetes; Neocallimastigales. The record is from RNAcentral.